CCCGAAAUUACAAGCAGAUAAAAAUCAUCAUCUCUUUUUUUUUUAUCGAGGAUAUCUCUGAGCUGAAAAUGUCUUCACGAAAAAUACAAAUAAGCUAUAAAAUUUGUAAUGAAGUGCAUUGAAUAACAGACAUCUAAUACAUACUUGAUGAUUACACUGAAGUAUUAAUAAAUAACAAAUUAAAUAUACUCAUUAAUUCAUCUAUUAAUCUUUUAAUCUAUGCUUUAUUGUAUCAUCACCAGCAACCUGUAUUUAAAAUAAGCAUACAGCAAGUGUAUAUUCAGAUAUGUACAUUUAUUUACAUAAUACCAAAACCAGUUCACAUAUUCACGUGAACAUACGCGAUUUUUCCAGUAAUUGUUGACUACAUCAAUCGGGUCAUUAAAGAGAUUGUAAAGUCAAAAUAAAACUUCUUAGAAUAUCGUAAAGAGUAGGAUCAGUUUGAAUCUCGCUUUUUUUAUGUCUGUUCAUGUGGAAAAAGUUGAAGAUUUUUAGUAGAAUGUUGUGUUUAAUAAGAGAAAUUUCAUGGGACUCUGUCGCUUGCUUCGACGAAGUCUCGUUCUCCAUCACGUGACCCUAUGAUGUUUGGUGUAGAGUGUUUACCACUUUCGGAAAGACAGAGCCUUACAAAAUGAAUGGAUCAUACCAAUAAAAAGACUCGAUCCCCAAACGAAAAAGCUUUGGGAGCCCAAAGAGUGAGACAAUCUAUGUUGAAGCCGGACCCGAAUGUCCAAACAGUUAGGUUUGGCCUUUAAGGCACAGCUUCUGCCAGAUACAUUUCUGACAAUUUUUCAACACAAUGAAAUUGCUUGAAAAAGAAAGAAAGAUUUAUCUGACAGACGAGUUUCACUUGCCAAACGACUACAGCAUAAACAGGUCAGUGCCAGUGCUACUGUUAUUGUGUUUACAAAAUCCAUUAUUCAUUAUUGUCAGAUAACAUUACAAUAUACAUAUAGAAAAGAUUGUAUAUACAUAACAAUAAAAGUGUUAUGUUGUACUUAUAAUAAACGAGUUUAAACAGGUAAACAUUUAUAGCACAUGUAUAAUAUGUGAAGAUGUCAGCAUCAAACUGCAAGUGUAAAAGAAAUGAUUUUUGAUAUCCUGGCAGUUGUUACAUUAUUGUUUUAAAAGUACUGUUUGCUUUUCAUAAAAUGAAAUUUUUUUAAUUAAUAUUUUUGUAAAUACAGCCUCUUUGUUUAAGAAAUCUAAAAACAAUAAAAUAUAUGUGAAAGGUAUUUUCUACAUAAUGAGUUUAUCAACAAUUGUAGGAAAAUAUGUGUGCAGUACACUGCUGAAGUUAGAAUUCAUAUUUCGACAUUUGAAAAUUAGAGUAAUAUUAAUAAUGAUUGUGUUUUAUGGUGGAUGCAGUCAAGAAUUUAAAAUAAUAAUUCUUCCUACAGACAAACAACAUGAUACUGACACCGGAAAAUAAUGGAGAGCCAAGUGCAGUAAAGGUCAGUCAGCAGGAUGAAAAAAAGCAGCUCAUGAGAAAACUCUUGCUUUCAGGUACGGCAAAAUGUUUCCUACCUUAUUAUGCCAAACUGCCCAAUUUUGUCUCACAAAAUAAACUUUCAACAAAGAGCGUCUACUCUUUUUGCCUGUAAUGGUACUUUCAUCCUACUGAAAUUGAUAAAAAUAUGUUACAAAAGAUUAUGAUUUAUGUGUGAAAUUAAUUUUUGAGAAGUUAUUCUUUUUAAGGUCAUCCUCAAGCAACUGGUCACUUGGAAGAGGAUUUACCUUGAAGAACCUGUAAUAACAAAAUACAUUGAUAGUCAAGUAAAGCCACCUGAAGCACCUGGUCAUUCAGAAGAGGAUUAACAAAACACAGAUGAAGUACCUACCACACUAAAAUACACUGGUGUUCAAGUAAACCCAAAUGAUUACUUUAUUAAAAUUUCACAUUUAGACUAUGACAAGUCAUUCACAACAAACAGUUCAACUGUGCUUGCAUAAAGAGGUGCACACAGACCCAGACUUUAGAAAGGUGUGAUCCGACAACAAGCCGCAACAGAGGAUGGAGACUUGAUAUGGACAGUUGUUAGGCCUAACGCCUGCAAAGGAACCCCUGUUUGCAAAAAGUGUGAAAAAAGAAGCCCAUGAGAGAUUAUUUAUUAGAACUUAAUGAAAAACUGUUAGAAAAAAGGAAAAAAAAAAUUCCCGUCUGAUGAGAAGGCCAAGUCUGCACAAAGCAGCUACAACAAAACUCUUCCUGCCACUUUAAGCCAAACUUCAGACCCAGUAGACAAAACUGCUGUGGUGGCUCAGCAUCGCCAGCGUUUAAACUGGAGACCUGGAAUCAGGACUGGAAACAUGCAACUGAACCAAACAAUGCAUGGCAGUACCAGUUUGAAAUCAAGCAGAACGUCACCGACGUCCUCUGGAUUUUGAAAUCCGAAAAUGAUACCGAACUCCUCUCCAGAUGCUUUAUCGAAUCUCAGAGGUGUGAUCAAAU
Pomacea canaliculata is the source of this 2452-nucleotide RNA transcript. RefSeq lists it as uncharacterized. NCBI's taxonomy places the organism in Eukaryota, Metazoa, Mollusca, Gastropoda, Architaenioglossa, Ampullariidae. The transcript has 6 exons. The record is from RefSeq and is a predicted model, not a curated record.